CCUACGGGUGGCAGCAGUGAGGAAUAUUGGUCAAUGGACGAGAGCCUGAACCAGCCAAGUAGCGUGAAGGAUGACUGCCCUAUGGGUUGUAAACUUCUUUUAUAUGGGAAUAAAAUGUUCCACGUGUGGGAUUUUGUAUGUACCAUAUGAAUACGGAUCGGCUAACUCCGUGCCAGCAGCCGCGGUAAUACGGAGGGUCCGAGCGUUAUCCGGAUUUAUUGGGUUUAAAGGGAGCGUAGGUGGAUGGUUAAGUCAGUUGUGAAAGUUUGCGGCUCAACCGUAAAAUUGCAGUUGAAACUGGAAGGCUUGAGUACAGUAGAGGUAGGCGGAAUUCGUGGUGUAGCGGUGAAAUGCGUAGAUAUAACGAAGAACUCCGAUUGCGAAGGCAGCUCACUGGACUGCAACUGACACUGAGGCUCGAAAGUGUGGGUAUCAAACAGGAUUAGAUACCCGAGUAGUC
Molecule: ribosomal RNA, 460 nt
Filed under: uncultured bacterium
Lineage: Bacteria
Description: partial 16S ribosomal RNA
Rfam family: Bacterial small subunit ribosomal RNA
Source: RNAcentral